This 253-nucleotide ribosomal RNA is filed under the name uncultured bacterium. RNAcentral describes it as "partial 16S ribosomal RNA". It matches the Rfam family "Bacterial small subunit ribosomal RNA", at positions 524 to 776 of the family's 1533-position model. The record is from RNAcentral.
UACGGAGGGGGCUAGCGUUAUUCGGAAUUACUGGGCGUAAAGCGCACGUAGGCGGACCAGAAAGUAGGGGGUGAAAUCCCGGGGCUCAACCUCGGAACUGCCUUCUAAACUCCUGGUCUUGAGUUCGAGAGAGGUGAGUGGAAUUCCGAGUGUAGAGGUGAAAUUCGUAGAUAUUCGGAAGAACACCAGUGGCGAAGGCGGCUUACUGGCUCGAUACUGACGCUGAGGAGCGAAAGCGUGGGGAGCAAACAGG